This 582-nucleotide ribosomal RNA is filed under the name uncultured bacterium. RNAcentral's name for it is "bacterial SSU rRNA". It matches the Rfam family "Bacterial small subunit ribosomal RNA", at positions 1 to 590 of the family's 1533-position model. The record is from RNAcentral.
UGAGUUUGAUUCUGGCUCAGGAUGAACGCCGGCGGCGUGCUUAACACAUGCAAGUCGAGCGAGAAGCUUUGGAUUGAUCCUUCGGGAGAGAGAAGAAGUGGAAAGCGGCGGACGGGUGAGUAACGCGUGGGCAACCUGCCCCGUACAGAGGGAUAGCCACUGGAAACGGUGAUUAAUACCUCAUAAGACCACAGUGACACAUGUCGCAGGGGUAAAAACUCCGGUGGUACGGGAUGGGCCCGCGUCUGAUUAGCUAGUUGGUGAGGUAACGGCUCACAAGGCGACGAUCAGUAGCCGACCUGAGAGGGUGAUCGGCCACACUGGAACUGAGACACGGUCCAGACUCCUACGGGAGGCAGCAGUGGGGAAUAUUGCACAAUGGGCGAAAGCCUGAUGCAGCAACGCCGCGUGAACGACGAAGGCCUUCGGGUUGUAAAGUUCUUUUCUUGAAGAAGAAUAACUGACGGUAUUCAAGGAAUAAGCCCCGGCUAACUACGUGCCAGCAGCCGCGGUAAUACGUAGGGGGCAAGCGUUAUCCGGAAUCACUGGGCGUAAAGGGAGUGUAGGCGGUCAAGCAAGUCA